GACUUAGCUCCUCUGUUUAUCCACAGAACAGAUACAGCACGGGCAGCGGCAGUGCAAGCCACCCACAGCCACCCCGUGCCACUGUGUCCCAACCCUGACCUGGAGGGACCAGCUCUCGGGGAUCUUGAAGCAAGAGCACCCCGAGUUGGCAGUCCUGGCAGACUCGGUUGACCUUCAGGAGUCCACAGGGAUAGCUUCCGACAGCUCCAGCGACUCUUCCAGCUCCUCCAGCUCCAGUUCGUCAGACUCCGACUCAGAGUGCGAGUCUGGAUCCGAGGGCGAUGGGACAGUGCACCGCAGGAAGAAGAGGAGGACGUGCAGCAUGGUGGGAAACGGGGACACCACCUCCCAGGACGACUGUGUCAGCAAAGAGCGCAGCUCCUCCAGGUGACCCAGCAAGGCUGUUGUCUGUAUGGAAGGACACGCUCGCGGCGAGGGCAGGGCCUGGGGAGGGUGGCCUGUCCAGUCCUGCAGACAAGGGGAGGCCUGACAGAGCCCAAGAAUGAGGACACCCUCGGCACGGGAACCCAUUCACUUAGCGUUUGCUCCAGUAGCUUUCCCUCUGCUACCGAUGCAGAUAAACGCGGCUUGUUUUACUCAGAAAGGCAAGAGAAUGUGAAUAAUGCCAAGAAAACCCUUUACAUUAUUUAAUAAAAAUUGAAUCCAUUUUC
Molecule: small RNA, 671 nt
Filed under: Pan troglodytes (chimpanzee)
Lineage: Eukaryota; Metazoa; Chordata; Mammalia; Primates; Hominidae
Description: retained intron
Source: RNAcentral